UUCGUUUUGCUGUUGUAAUCUAGGGCUUUUUUCUCGGGUUUUUCUUUCUUUCUCUGUCGCCUCUCUUUCACCUCCAUCCUUUUCUCUGAAGAUCUGCUACCAUUGAAAGCGCGUCUCUCACCUUCUCACUCCUUCUCGGAUGCUUUCAAAACACUUUAAGAUUAAGUCGUUUUAUGGAGAUCUCAAAGGGUAAAGUUCGAGGAUUACGAGAAGGAGUUCGAGUAUGAAACUAUGGAUACAAUCACAAGUUGAAAUCGACUAUGUUCAGCAUCAACAAAUAGAUACUAAAAAUGACCUCGGAUUAUGGGGAUCUGAUGAUAUGAAUGGCUUGUGUAGUUGAAAUCGGCAACGAAGAAAACUUUGAAUUGCUUUAAUGGUUUGAGAAAAGGAAGGUAUGAGAUAAUUGGUAAGCCACAUCCUUAAUUAAAAAGGAAUAUGCUGCUCCAGUGCUCCCAUUAUCUCAUGUAAAUGGACCAAGGGUUUUGAGAAGAAUUUCAAGGUUAUUAGUGUGUCUUGCAACUAAUGCUUACAUUCAGCCAGAGGAAUCCUUGAAUCAAGAAAUGAAUUCACUAUUUUAAAGGACCGUGAAAAAGUAAGUUGACAAUCUCAUGCGUUUCCUAGAGAGAAUUAAUUCCCGGCUCUCCAACUUAGAAUAGUAUUGCUACAACAUUGACAAGUCAAUUGAGGAAAUGCAUUCUUACUUGGGUCUUAAAGUUUCUGGAGAAACAUGUUCAAGAGGAAUAGCCCAAUACAAAUACAGUUUUUCAACCUUACGGUGUUGGAUUACCAAUGUCGCUGCAUCUAUAGCUUGGCAAUUUCCCAUAUUUCUUUGUUUCUCUCUCCUCCUGCUUCAGAGAGUUUCAUGGUCAUGGAGGUGUAUGUGUCAGCCCGCUCAGCCUUUUUUACCUCAUGAUCACAGCACGGGCUAGGCCGCUGUAGGGAAAGAUUAAAGGCCAAGGCUUGAGUUACAAAGAGAUUCAAAUGAGAGGAUUUUUUGCUUUCAGAAAAAAGAUGUGGACACGUCGUUGCAUCUUUCUCCUCCACACUGCUUCAUUACGUUCAGCCCUGCCCUAAGUCUUUCUUCCUCCUUCUUUUGCUUGCUCGAGCUUCCAUUUUCUCUUUCCACUCGCUUCUCUUCUUGGUAUAAUCUCAUCUGCCAUCUGCUAUGGAAAAUUUCCGACUACACAAUUCCGAAUGAAGGGAGGUUGGAUCUAUUAGAUUGAAAAAUGAGGGUUUAAUUCAAAUAUUGCAAAGAUUCUCCGCCUUUGACUGGGUUUCUACUUCUAGAUAUUUUGCUUGGUUGAUGCGGCGGUGAAAGCAACGGAGCUUCAAGUUGCUUCAAGUUCAGUAGGAUAAAUUACGCGAAAAAACCCUCGCUCUCCCCAAGCCAAAGAAUCCAAUAACACAACCAAGAAGUUGGGAAAGUGAGAAGUAACAAGGAAGAAGAGCAACAACAACAACACGUUGGCAGCAACAACCGUCAGCUUCAGAAGACCGUAUCUCUUAGCUCAGGGUUCCAAUUUUAGUAAUUCUUGAGCCUAAAUUCAUUAGAAUGAAGAGAUACACAGUUCUUAUUCAGAGAACAGAAGCUCAAAAUGAUCAGAAGAUUGUCGAAAUAAUAGAAAGAGAAUCUGGUGCUGACAUCACAACAACAGCAGCAACAGUUAGCUUCGUAAGGGAUUAUCUCUUGGAAUAAUGCUCCAAAUUGAGUGAUUCUUGAACCUUAACUGGUUAACUUUUCAAGGCCUACAACUUUCAUGAAGGGCGAAUUGGCUAAAAAUGAGCGUAUGAUGGAUGAAUUUAAUCAAACAGAACCGACCUUUGAGAAGUGCCAGCAAGAGGAGGAAGAAGAUGAGAUGGGUCUUUUGGGUCUUCUAAUUGGGUUGAUAGAUUAAGAACUUGCCUUACUAAUGUGGAUAAAGGAGGAAUUGACAACAAAUCAAAGAGACAUGUUAUGUGUGUGCAUCAGCUUCCUGAACUGCACCAGUUGAUGAUUGAGGCUGCUGAAAUAUUGAAUGUUGAGGCUCUGGAUUUGUACGUUCGCUAGAGCCCAACGCCAAAUGCAUAUAAUUUAUCCAUCAACGGUAAUGUCCUGACCGUCCCAAGUACAUGGGCGCCUUCUCAGAGCAGACCACAUCAUACCUUAUUGGUGAAAUCCCCAUCAUGGGAUACGGCUGGACUAUCAGUAGACCCCUGAAACCUUCGCCAGGAACCGUGAGGUGUGAGCUCAAGGUCAUCAACUCUUGAUGGGAUAUGCUUGGUGCCCUGGGCUGUGUAUUCCUCGAACUCUUGUCAAAGAGCGGUGUCAGAUUGGGUGAAGUCGCAUGGUUUAAGGACAGAUCCCUAAUAGGGAACACAAUACUUGAUACCAGAUUUUCGCUUGUCUGCCGAAGUUAAAACACAACACAGUUGGUUUUCUGCAUCAGCCAUCCAAUUAAGCAUGUUGAAGAAUUAGAUCCAACUCAGUAAACUGUCAUUGGAAACUUCAUGGUUCAAGAACUCGAUGGAUCAGCCGUGAACGAAUAGGGUUGGUUCAACCAAAAGAGAUGCUGCAAGGAGAAGGAGAUCACCCUCAGAAGAUGAAGAAUUUUGUUUUUUCGCUUGUUUAAUUAUGUGAUUGAUAGUUGAUGGACUACAUACAAAUGAAAACAGGUAUGGGAUAAAGCUAUGGUUGAUAGGAAAACUGAAGAAGCAAGGAUAAUAAGUUCUCUACUUCUCUGUAAUUAUUUUUGUGGAGAGGGGGGGGGGGGGGGGGGUUAGGGAAUUUUUAGGGGUCAUAUUUAUGUAUACUCUUAUUCAGGGUUGGGGUCUAAUCUGUUCAGCGCAUUCUACCCUGCUCACAUCACUUAGUUUUUUGUUGUGUCAGCUGUUCUUUGUCGUUUCUUUGUUGUUUUUAAGUAUCAGCAACACUGGUGCCACAGAUUCACGCAAGCCACCUGAUGUUAUUCUAUUCUCCGGAGUGUGCUGAUGUUUUCAUUUUUAAGCUUGAAUAAAAUGUGUUAGUCGGAGGCAGUGCAACAAGUUGGUUCAAGCUUGUUACGUAGUCUGGUUUUCUGUUGUUGGUUGUGAUUGUUGCUCCAUAAGUUUUGACCAAAGUGGUCAUGUUGACUUGGUGUGUUGCUGUUGUUUGCUAUAGAGGGCACAUAGUCUCCAUGAGUUUGCAUAAUGACGAAUUCUUAAAACUGAUUUCUUAUUUAUGUACCUCGUGUGUUUGCAUAAUUGUAAUAUUUGAUCAGUUUGAAUCCUCA
Spinacia oleracea (spinach) is the source of this 3248-nucleotide long non-coding RNA. RefSeq lists it as uncharacterized. NCBI's taxonomy places the organism in Eukaryota, Viridiplantae, Streptophyta, Magnoliopsida, Caryophyllales, Amaranthaceae. The transcript has 12 exons. The record is from RefSeq and is a predicted model, not a curated record.